This 395-nucleotide ribosomal RNA is filed under the name uncultured bacterium. Its description in RNAcentral is "bacterial SSU rRNA". It matches the Rfam family "Bacterial small subunit ribosomal RNA", at positions 359 to 758 of the family's 1533-position model. The record is from RNAcentral.
UCAUCUCCUGGAGCAAGCUCUGACCGCUAUGCCGCGUGAAGGAUUAAGGUCCUCUGGAUUGUAAACUUCUUUUAUCUGGGACGAAAAAAGGUCUUUCUAGAUCACUUGACGGUACCAGGUGAAUAAGCACCGGCUAACUCCGUGCCAGCAGCCGCGGUAAUACGGAGGGUGCAAGCGUUAUCCGGAUUCACUGGGUUUAAAGGGUGCGUAGGCGGGCAGGUAAGUCAGUGGUGAAAUCCUGGAGCUCAACUCCAGAACUGCCAUUGAUACUAUCUGUCUUGAAUAUUGUGGAGGUAAGCGGAAUAUGUCAUGUAGCGGUGAAAUGCUUAGAUAUGACAUAGAACACCCAUUGCGAAGGCAGCUUACUACGCAUAUAUUGACGCUGAGGCACGAAA